RNAcentral lists this unclassified non-coding RNA (314 nucleotides) under Hevea brasiliensis (rubber tree). Lineage: Eukaryota; Viridiplantae; Streptophyta; Magnoliopsida; Malpighiales; Euphorbiaceae. The record is from RNAcentral.
GAGUUUGAGACUGAUUUGAAUAGUUGAGAAUAAAUUUUAAUAAUACUAAUUAGAUUCGAGUUUAAGUAGAAUGAUUUUUAUGGAUACCUUACUCAUUACCAUCCCUAUCCACAAUAACUACAAGUCAACCAAAUUGACCACCCAAAGCUCCGUUUUAACAAGGUUUGGUUGCUGUCAAUUCAUGUGAGCUAUCAGGACAUAUAGUAACACAUCCUUAUCAAAGACAACGAUAACAAUAAUAGGUCAUUCAAAUUUCAUAUUGAAUAUAACGAGUGUGUGGAACGUUUAUAUAAGAUGAGGGAUUUUGAUAAAAU